AAUCCUGAGUUAUGGGAGCCAUGAUGAUGUAAAAUUGGUUUUUUUAUAACAUUACAACCGAAAAGGCAAAUACUAUCAGCUUAGCUUAGCGAAACUUUGAAAACAUUUCAUAGGCGUUUUAAAAUUUUUAUAAAUCCGGUGUGGUUGCGUAUGAUUACAUAAAAACAAUUCAUUGGUGGGACCGAAAGCAACGUAGCCAUGUAAACUAAGUGGAACAGGAGAGAGCAUACAAAAUUGGUUUUUUGAUAAGAAAACAUUCGCAGCCUAAUGAACCUAUUUCUUUUGUCACGCAGUUAAGUUUAGGAGCAAAUACACCCUUUGUAUGCGGUUUUACUUGUAACUUAACACAAGCGAAAUAAAGGGAGCCAAAACAUUGGAGAUGACAAAGGGCUCCCACUCCGACCUAAGCUCUUCAAGCUUGGAAUAUCUCGCUUCGCCCCGUUAUUACCACUCAAUGCGAAAAAUCACAAGCAGUUUCAAGUAUUUUUACAGUCAAAUUGUUUUUAUUCACUUAAACAAAUAAUCAAGAGCAAAACGAUGAAUCUCACUUUACCGACAAAACAACACAGUAGCUCCAGGGUUGAAAAGUGUUUGAGGGAUGACUUCUUAACCGCCCGUUCCGCUGCUUAUACUUGAGGACGCCUCGAGAUUUGUGUAUACAUGGACAACGUCAUUAGAAGACAUGAAAUAUGCCACUUUCACAGUCGCCGAAAGUGCUUGCACGUGCUUGGGCCUUGUUCUUUAUUUAACAGAAGGACAUUGACGUUGCGAUGAAAUAUGGUUAUAAUGACUUACUCGCCCAUUACAUUUGUGAACAAAACAUCAAAGAACAUCAAAUAAACUGAACCACCAGAAGUUGAAUCGGUAUACAUACAUAUAUAUAUGUGGGGACGGGCUUUUUUAGGUACAAAAUU
Molecule: small RNA, 914 nt
Filed under: Drosophila yakuba
Lineage: Eukaryota; Metazoa; Arthropoda; Insecta; Diptera; Drosophilidae
Description: GE28940
Source: RNAcentral